Molecule: ribosomal RNA, 254 nt
Filed under: uncultured bacterium
Lineage: Bacteria
Description: partial 16S ribosomal RNA
Rfam family: Bacterial small subunit ribosomal RNA
Source: RNAcentral
UACGUAGGGGGCAAGCGUUGUCCGGAAUCAUUGGGCGUAAAGAGCGCGUAGGCGGUCCGGUAAGUCCGCUCUGAAAGUCCGGGGCUCAACCCCGGGAGGCGGGCGGAUACUGUCGGGCUAGAGUCCGGAAGAGGCGAGUGGAAUUCCUGGUGUAGCGGUGAAAUGCGCAGAUAUCAGGAGGAACACCAAUGGCGAAGGCAGCUCGCUGGGACGGUACUGACGCUGAGGCGCGAAAGCGUGGGGAGCAAACAGGA